Molecule: ribosomal RNA, 451 nt
Filed under: Nigrospora sp. GZUCCKY0902
Lineage: Eukaryota; Fungi; Ascomycota; Sordariomycetes; Amphisphaeriales; Apiosporaceae
Description: eukaryotic LSU rRNA
Rfam family: 5.8S ribosomal RNA (bases 103-256)
Source: RNAcentral
GCGCAAGCUACCCGGGACCUCGCGCCCCGGGGGGCCCGCCGGCGGACAAACCAAACUCUGUUAUCUUCGUUGAUUAUCUGAGUGUCUUAUUUAAUAAGUCAAAACUUUCAACAACGGAUCUCUUGGUUCUGGCAUCGAUGAAGAACGCAGCGAAAUGCGAUAAGUAAUGUGAAUUGCAGAAUUCAGUGAAUCAUCGAAUCUUUGAACGCACAUUGCGCCCAUUAGUAUUCUAGUGGGCAUGCCUGUUCGAGCGUCAUUUCAACCCCUAAGCACAGCUUAUUGUUGGGACUCUACGGCUUCGUAGUUCCCCAAAGACAUUGGCGGAGUGGCAGCAGUCCUCUGAGCGUAGUAAUUCUUUAUCUCGCUUUUGUUAGGCGCUGCCCCCCCGGCCGUAAAACCCCCAAUUUUUUCUGGUUGACCUCGGAUCAGGUAGGAAUACCCGCUGAACUUA